Aethalodelphis obliquidens (Pacific white-sided dolphin) is the source of this 1466-nucleotide long non-coding RNA. RefSeq lists it as uncharacterized. The record is from RefSeq and is a predicted model, not a curated record. NCBI's taxonomy places the organism in Eukaryota, Metazoa, Chordata, Mammalia, Artiodactyla, Delphinidae. The transcript has 2 exons.
CCGGAGCGCCGGAGCCGAGGCGGCGGGAACCUCAAAGCCCCGGCAUGAACCGCCGCUCCCGCAGCGCGCUGGCGGCCCCCUCCCCCGCGGUGCCGGGGCCGACCGGCGGCCAGAGGGGGCCAGGGGCGACCGAGGACACGCUGCGCCGCGCCCCGGGCCCGCCCCUACCUGCGUGGAGUGAUGAGAAACCGGAGAAAAAAGGAAGAGGAGAGACUAAAAGAACCGAAGGGCUUUUUUUCCCCCAGCCCAGACGAGGUCUCCAGCCCACUCACCAGAUACACUUAAAAUGUAAAUACAAGCUUCCAGAACAAAUGCUACAACACAAAACAGAAACACAUGUGCUGCCGGGCGGCAAGCGAACGCGCGGCGGGGCAGGAGGCGCGGGUCCCGGGGCGCCCGCGCCCCCUGCCGGCCGGCGGACCCGGCGGCGGCCCGGCCCCCGCCCUCGCCCGCGGGGCAGCCCGGCCCACCGAAGCCUGCGCUGGGCGCCACGCCGCCAGCCUUCACUCCCCGAUCCUGCGCGUUUCGCAGGCGGCGCAGCACGUCCAGCGCGUCAGAGAUUACUUUGGGGGUUAGGAGAGUGUUAGAUUGUUUUUCCUGGGCAUGUCUAGACAGGUCACCUGAGGACACUCGCUGGAAAAUAGUUACUUCGCUCACGAAUCCGCCAACAAGGGACGUGUCCUAAUUGAGUGGAAUGAAAGAUGAAUACAAUUUGAAUAAUUUUCUCCUGUGCAGAGAGAAGCUGUUAUUUUAUUUGCCUAUGGAUGUGCCCCAGUAUGUAGCAAGGUGCUGUUACACGGUAGAGUUACAUACAUAAAGGUUUGCUGUAUUAGCGAAUUAAUUUGGAAGCCAAGGAGGCACUGGAGGCUAGUUCUAAUGGAAAUUUUUCUUUUUUUUACAAAUAUUUACUGAGGCCUCAGUACAUGCAAGACACACAGUGCUAGACGCUGAGGAAACAAAGCUAGAGAACAAGAUUUGUGCCCUAGUGGAAUGCACAGUCUAACGGUAAGACAGAUAAUUCAACAAGUAAUUGCAAGCGUAAGUGAUGGGGUUCGAGACACGCUACCCCAAAUUACGCCACCUUGGCAUAUUGAAGAAACUGAAGAAGUUUUGAGGAAACAGCAGAAGCAGGAAGGUCAUUCUGACCUUCUUCCCCCAAAACAGUCAUAAAUCCCUCAGGUGAGAGGUGCCCUCCCUGUUCCAGGAGGACAGGGACAUCCUUAUCUCUGAAAACAAAGGGAAACCAAGAAGAAUCCUGAUAAACAAGGCUUGUUAAAUUGCCCCCAGUCUACUACAUGUAGCCUCAAGCUCCUUAACCUCUCCAAGUUCUCCAGACUGUCCAGGCUUCAGCAAAACUAGCAGAAAGAUACACACAUCUGUUUCUUUGGGUCUUCAUUUCCUUAUGAAGUCUCCUGUGUCAUGUAAAACUUAGGUUAAAAUAAAUUUGUAGGCUUUUCUCCUGUUAA